This 683-nucleotide ribosomal RNA is filed under the name uncultured Actinomycetales bacterium. RNAcentral describes it as "bacterial SSU rRNA". It matches the Rfam family "Bacterial small subunit ribosomal RNA", at positions 64 to 760 of the family's 1533-position model. The record is from RNAcentral. Lineage: Bacteria; Bacillati; Actinomycetota; Actinomycetes; Actinomycetales.
GAACGGAAAGGCCCUGCUUGCAGGGUACUCGAGUGGCGAACGGGUGAGUAACACGUGGGUGAUCUGCCCUGCACUUCGGGAUAAGCUUGGGAAACUGGGUCUAAUACCGGAUAGGAACCAUCUUUAGUGUGGUGGUUGGAAAGUUUUUUCGGUGUAGGAUGAGCUCGCGGCCUAUCAGCUUGUUGGUGGGGUAAUGGCCUACCAAGGCGGCGACGGGUAGCCGGCCUGAGAGGGUGUACGGCCACAUUGGGACUGAGAUACGGCCCAGACUCCUACGGGAGGCAGCAGUGGGGAAUAUUGCACAAUGGGCGCAAGCCUGAUGCAGCGACGCCGCGUGGGGGAUGAAGGCCUUCGGGUUGUAAACUCCUUUCGCUAGGGACGAAGCUUUUUGUGACGGUACCUAGAUAAGAAGCACCGGCUAACUACGUGCCAGCAGCCGCGGUAAUACGUAGGGUGCGAGCGUUGUCCGGAAUUACUGGGCGUAAAGGGCUCGUAGGUGGUUUGUCGCGUCGUCUGUGAAAUUCUGGGGCUUAACUCCGGGCGUGCAGGCGAUACGGGCAUAACUUGAGUGCUGUAGGGGUAACUGGAAUUCCUGGUGUAGCGGUGAAAUGCGCAGAUAUCAGGAGGAACACCGAUGGCGAAGGCAGGUUACUGGGCAGUUACUGACGCUGAGGAGCGAAAGC